Molecule: long non-coding RNA, 1488 nt
Filed under: Callithrix jacchus (white-tufted-ear marmoset)
Lineage: Eukaryota; Metazoa; Chordata; Mammalia; Primates; Cebidae
Description: lncRNA (ENSCJAG00000075346.1)
Source: RNAcentral
AGAGAUCAUGAUGUUAAGUGGAAUAAACUGCACACAGAAAGACAAAUAUCACAUGUUCUCACUUAUUUGUGAUAUCCAAAAAUAAAAAUAAUUGAACUCAUGGACAUAGGAGGUUAUCAGAGGCUGGGGAAAAAGUGGUGAUGCGGGGAGGUGGAGAGGGGGCGGGGUGGGAAGAAUGGAAGGUAAGGAUAGUUAAUGAAUUUCAAAAAGUUAGAAAGAAUGAAUAAAACCUAUUUGAUAGCACAACAGGGUGACUAUAGUCAAUAAUAAGUUAAUUGUACAUUUAAAAAAACUCAGAGUAUGAUUGGAUUAUUUAUAACACAAAGGAUAAAGCACACAAAGGGAUGGACACCCCAUUCUCCAUGACGUGCUUAUUUCACAUUGUAUAUCUGUAUCAAACAUAUCAUGUAUCCCGUAAAUAUAUACACCUACUAUAUAUCCACAAAAAUUAAAACUUUAAAAAAAAAAAAAAAAAAAAAAAAAAAAAAAAAAAAAAGAGGGAGAAAGCGCUCUGAGGCAGGGAGCCAGGUGAUCAGGCUUGGCAGGUCCCACCCCCACAGGGACAAAGAAAAUGGUGAUUCCAAACGCUUGAGGUUGAGAGUUUCACUGCAGGCACAGCUGAAUACAGGAUGGUGCAGCUCCAUGGGGGAGGGGUGUCCGUCACUACCGAGGGAUUCCGCCCCUACUGAGGUACACACCCAUUGCUGAAGCAGCCUGCCUUUGCCAAGACAACCUGCCAUAACAGAGAGACUCCGCCAACAGGGCGGAGCCCACAACAGCAGGGCAGAGCCCAUGGGCAACAGGGCAGAGCCCAGGACAGAAGGGCAGAGCCCAAAGCAGCAGGGCAAAGCCCACAGCAGCAAGGCAGAGACCACAGCAGCAGGGACUGUAGCGGACCUCAGCAGUCAUACAGCAGAGGGGCUAGACUGUUAAAAGGAAAACUAAGUAACAGAAAUACUUCAGCAUCAACAAUCUGGGUGUACACUCAGAGACCCAAUCGAAAAGCCAGCAACUACUCAGAUGACAGGUGGAUAAAUCCACAAAGAUGAGAAGAAACCAGUGCAAAAAGGAGGAAAACACCCGAAACCAAAACACCUUGCCUCCUACAAAGGACCAAAACUCCUCACCAGCAAGGGAACAAAGCUGGAUGGAGAAUGAGUGUGAUGAAAUGAUGGAAUCAGACUUCAGAAGGUGGAUAAUGAGAAACUUCUGUGAGCUAAAAGAACAUGUUCUAAAUCAAUGCAAAGAAACUAAGAACCUUGAAAAAAGAUUUAAAAAAAGAUUUGAGGAAAUGAUAACAAGAAUGGACAACUUAGAGGAAUAUGAAUGAAUUGAAAGAGCUGAAAAACACAACACGAGAACUUCGCGAAGCAUGUACAAGUUUGAACAGCCGAAUUGACCAAGCAGAAGAAAAAAUAUCAGAAGUCGAAGAUCAACUCAAUGAAAUUAAAUGAGAAACCAAGAUUAGAGAAAAAAGUGCAAAAAGGA